GGUUUCUGCUGAGAUCAGGCCGCGUUGAGGUCCUGGCAGCACUGGGUCCGGGGUGCUUUGUGCCCGAGUCUGAUCGGUCCUGCCGUCCUGACACUGCUUCCCGCAGCGGUUCCGGCUCCUGACGUUCUGCUCCGGUCCUGAGGAACACGUCAGCUUCUAAAGCCCCUUGGAGUUUUCCAG
Molecule: long non-coding RNA, 180 nt
Organism: Hipposideros armiger (great roundleaf bat)
Lineage: Eukaryota; Metazoa; Chordata; Mammalia; Chiroptera; Hipposideridae
Exons: 3
Source: RefSeq, a predicted model, not a curated record